Molecule: transfer RNA, 92 nt
Filed under: Agrilus planipennis (emerald ash borer)
Lineage: Eukaryota; Metazoa; Arthropoda; Insecta; Coleoptera; Buprestidae
Rfam family: tRNA
About the family: Transfer RNA (tRNA) molecules are approximately 80 nucleotides in length. Their secondary structure includes four short double-helical elements and three loops (D, anti-codon, and T loops).
Source: Rfam by way of RNAcentral
CCUUCGAUAGCUCAGUUGGUAGAGCGGUGGACUGUAGAGGAAUUUAAAUUGUUGAAAUCCAUAGGUCGCUGGUUCAAAUCCGGCUCGAAGGA